AACGAACGCUGGCGGCAUGCCUAACACAUGCAAGUCGAACGAGACCUUCGGGUCUAGUGGCGCACGGGUGCGUAACGCGUGGGAACCUGCCCUUAGGUUCGGAAUAACUCCCCGAAAGGGGUGCUAAUACCGGAUAAUGUCCUCGGACCAAAGAUUUAUCGCCUUUGGAUGGGCCCGCGUUGGAUUAGCUAGUUGGUAGGGUAAAAGCCUACCAAGGCGACGAUCCAUAGCUGGUCUGAGAGGAUGAUCAGCCACACUGGGACUGAGACACGGCCCAGACUCCUACGGGAGGCAGCAGUGGGGAAUAUUGGACGAUGGGCGAAAGCCUGAUCCAGCAAUGCCGCGUGAGUGAUGAAGGCCUUAGGGUUGUAAAGCUCUUUUACCCGGGAUGAUAAUGACAGUACCGGGAGAAUAAGCACCGGCUAACUCCGUG
Molecule: ribosomal RNA, 433 nt
Filed under: uncultured bacterium
Lineage: Bacteria
Description: partial 16S ribosomal RNA
Rfam family: Bacterial small subunit ribosomal RNA
Source: RNAcentral